AUGGGGGACUCAGGAACCACGUUUUUGGAAGGAUUUCAAGGAAAAUUCAAGAACUUGCAACUCUCCGAAACAGAGAAAAAGGGAAUCAGGAUUGGAAAGAAGCAGGCAUGCUCCUCGCGGGUAAACAAGCUACAGGCUGUAGGUAAACUUCUCUCAGAGAGGCCGAUUAGAGCAGAGCAUGUGGGAAGAUCCUUGGGGGGAGCUUGGAGUCCAAUUUUUUGUGUGGAAUGCAUACAAUUGGGGAGGAAUUUUCUCUUUACUUUCCAUACAUGUGGGAAGGAUAAGGCACUAGAUGCUGGACCCUGGAGAUUCAACAAUAACCUUUUAGUAAUGGAGGAUUUUGUGCCGAGUAGAACUAUAGAUGAGUACGAAUUUAAGACAAUACCUAUUUGGAUUAGAGCUUAUGGGAUUCCAAUGGGGAUGAUGAGCAAACACUACUAG
This 441-nucleotide ribosomal RNA is filed under the name Triticum aestivum (bread wheat). RNAcentral's name for it is "partial small subunit ribosomal RNA". Lineage: Eukaryota; Viridiplantae; Streptophyta; Magnoliopsida; Poales; Poaceae. The record is from RNAcentral.